Molecule: ribosomal RNA, 497 nt
Filed under: uncultured bacterium
Lineage: Bacteria
Description: partial 16S ribosomal RNA
Rfam family: Bacterial small subunit ribosomal RNA
Source: RNAcentral
GAUGAACGCUGGCGGCGUGCCUAAUACAUGCAAGUCGAGCGAACAGACGAGGAGCUUGCUCCUCUGACGUUAGCGGCGGACGGGUGAGUAACACGUGGAUAACCUACCUAUAAGACUGGGAUAACUUCGGGAAACCGGAGCUAAUACCGGAUAAUAUAUUGAACCGCAUGGUUCAAUAGUGAAAGACGGUUUUGCUGUCACUUAUAGAUGGAUCCGCGCCGCAUUAGCUAGUUGGUAAGGUAACGGCUUACCAAGGCAACGAUGCGUAGCCGACCUGAGAGGGUGAUCGGCCACACUGGAACUGAGACACGGUCCAGACUCCUACGGGAGGCAGCAGUAGGGAAUCUUCCGCAAUGGGCGAAAGCCUGACGGGGCAACGCCGCGUGAGUGAUGAAGGUCUUCGGAUCGUAAAACUCUGUUACUAGGGAAGAACAAAUGUGUAAGUAACUAUGCACGUCUUGACGGUACCUAAUCAGAAAGCCACGGCUAACUACGUG